Molecule: long non-coding RNA, 735 nt
Organism: Vicia villosa (hairy vetch)
Lineage: Eukaryota; Viridiplantae; Streptophyta; Magnoliopsida; Fabales; Fabaceae
Exons: 4
Source: RefSeq, a predicted model, not a curated record
UUUUAUGUCCAUUCACGUUCCAACUUCUGAUGUUCUCUUUUUGAUGUUCUCUCUAUCUCAAAGAGCAAAGGCCGCACCUCCUUCUGCUACGACCCCAAUCCUUCUACUCCGGUAGGAGCUUAAUCGCAUCAACCAACUCUGGUCCAACAAUUUCCUUUCAAUUUCGGUUUGAUGCAGGGCUUUGAUUCUGAAUUUAGACACCAGUUAUCUUGAUGUAUAUGGCUACUGAGAUGAUGUGACGGUGAUUGAAUCUGAAUGGAACCGUCCCUAUUUCGAAUAAGGUUGAAGAAGUGUGGUUAAUUAGCUGUUGUUAGGACAAUUAGUUGAAUGUUAGACUGAUUCAAUUAGCAAGUGGUGAAUUUUUCAGCUUAUUGUGAUGAAAGGUGUGAUGGUUGUUUCAGAAUAACUAACCUUAGUAAGUGUUCACGUUGUCAAGUUGUAUACUCUUUCGAGGCAUCAAGAAGGAACUCCUUGAAGCCUUCCCCGCCCACUAAAGAUGCAAACCAUAGACAUGGGCAAGGGAGCAGUAAAAUUGGUCCUUUAAGUAGUCGGAUGAAUGUUCUGCACUUAAGUUCUGCUAACUGAAUGCUUAACAUGGUGUGAAUGUGAUAGAGAUGCCCUGCAUACAAACAUGGAGCCUGCAUAUUUAUGGGGUAUUUUUGUCCAUGGAGAUGUUACAAAUAUGCUACAAGAUUGAAAAUUUCUUAGCUUCUCUUUUGAGGCUAAUUUAUUGUU